RNAcentral lists this ribosomal RNA (440 nucleotides) under uncultured bacterium. RNAcentral describes it as "partial 16S ribosomal RNA". It matches the Rfam family "Bacterial small subunit ribosomal RNA", at positions 338 to 795 of the family's 1533-position model. The record is from RNAcentral.
CCUACGGGAGGCAGCAGUGGGGGAUAUUGCACAAUGGGGGAAACCCUGAUGCAGCGACGCCGCGUGAAGGAAGACGGUCCUCUGGAUUGUAAACUACUGUCCCCAGGGACGAAGAUGACGGUACCUGGGGAGGACGCUCCGGCUAUCUACGUGCCAGCAGCCGCGGUAAUACGUAGGGAGCGAGGGUUGGCCGGAAUUACUGGGUGUAAAGGGAGCGUAGGCGGGGAUGCAAGUUGGGUGUUAAAUCUACCGGCUCAACUGGUAGUCGCACUCGAAACUGCAGCUCUUGAGUGAAGUAGAGGCAGGCGGAAUUCGUAGUGUAGCGGUGAAAUGCUUAGAUAUUAGGAGGAACACCAGUGGCGAAGGCGGCCUGCUGGGCUUUUACUGACGCUGAGGCUCGAAAGUGUGGGGAGCAAACAGGAUUAGAUACCCGAGUAGUC